UGGGGAAUAUUGCGCAAUGGGGGAAACCCUGACGCAGCAACGCCGCGUGGAGGAUGACACUUUUCGGAGCGUAAACUCCUUUUCUUUGGGAAGAAUUAUGACGGUACCAAAGGAAUAAGCACCGGCUAACUCCGUGCCAGCAGCCGCGGUAAUACGGGGGGUGCAAGCGUUACUCGGAAUCACUGGGCGUAAAGGGUGCGUAGGUGGAUUGUCAAGUCUUUUGUGAAAUCUAAUGGCUUAACCAUUAAACUGCUUGGGAAACUGACAAUCUAGAGUGAGGGAGAGGUAGAUGGAAUUCUUGGUGUAGGGGUAAAAUCCGUAGAGAUCAAGAAGAAUACCCAUUGCGAAAGCGAUCUACUAGAACUCAACUGACACUGAGGCACGAAAGCGUGGGGAGCAA
RNAcentral lists this ribosomal RNA (400 nucleotides) under uncultured bacterium. Its description in RNAcentral is "bacterial SSU rRNA". It matches the Rfam family "Bacterial small subunit ribosomal RNA", at positions 355 to 771 of the family's 1533-position model. The record is from RNAcentral.